AACGCGAAGAACCUUACCUGGGCUCGAAAUGUUAUGGACCGGGGUAGAAAUAUCCCCUCCCAGCAAUGGGCCGUAAUAUAGGUGCUGCAUGGCUGUCGUCAGCUCGUGUCGUGAGAUGUUGGGUUAAGUCCCGCAACGAGCGCAACCCUUAUCUUCAGUUGCUACCAUUUAGUUGAGCACUCUGACGAAACCGCCUCGGAUAACGGGGAGGAAGGUGGGGAUGACGUCAAGUCCUCAUGGCCUUUAUGUCCAGGGCUACACACGUGCUACAAUGGCCGGUACAAACCGUCGCAAACCCGCGAGGGGGAGCUAAUCGGAAAAAGCCGGCCUCAGUUCGGAUUACAGUCUGCAACUCGACUGUAUGAAGCUGGAAUCGCUAGUAAUCGCGGAUCAGAAUGCCGCGGUGAAUACGUUCCCGGGCCUUGUA
RNAcentral lists this ribosomal RNA (427 nucleotides) under uncultured Acidobacterium sp. RNAcentral's name for it is "bacterial SSU rRNA". It matches the Rfam family "Bacterial small subunit ribosomal RNA", at positions 958 to 1385 of the family's 1533-position model. The record is from RNAcentral. Lineage: Bacteria; Pseudomonadati; Acidobacteriota; Terriglobia; Terriglobales; Acidobacteriaceae.